UUAACACUGAGGCGUGAUGACGAGUCACUACGGUGAUGAAGUAACCAAUGCUACGCUUCCAGGAAAAGCCUCUAAGCUCCAGGUAACAUCAAAUCGUACCCCAAACCGACACAGGUGGUCAGGUAGAGAAUACUCAGGCGCUUGAGAGAACUCGGGUGAAGGAACUAGGCAAAAUGGUGCCGUAACUUCGGGAGAAGGCACGCUGGUGUGUAGGUGAAGUCCCUUGCGGAUGGAGCUGAAACCAGUCGAAGAUACCAGCUGGCUGCAACUGUUUAAUAAAAACACAGCACUGUGCAAACACGAAAGUGGACGUAUACGGUGUGACGCCUGCCCGGUGCCGGAAGGUUAAUUGAUGGGGUCAGCCGCAAGGCGAAGCUCUUGAUCGAAGCCCCGGUAAACGGCGGCCGUAACUAUAACGGUCCUAAGGUAGCGAAAUUCCUUGUCGGGUAAGUUCCGACCUGCACGAAUGGCGUAAUGAUGGCCAGGCUGUCUCCACCCGAGACUCAGUGAAAUUGAACUCGCUGUGAAGAUGCAGUGUACCCGCGGCAAGACGGAAAGACCCCGUGAACCUUUACUAUAGCUUGACACUGAACCUUGAGCCUUGAUGUGUAGGAUAGGUGGGAGGCUUUGAAGUGUGGACGCCAGUCUGCAUGGAGCCAACCUUGAAAUACCACCCUUUAAUGUUUGAUGUUCUAACGUGGACCCGUAAUCCGGGUUGCGGACAGUGUCUGGUGGGUAGUUUGACUGGGGCGGUCUCCUCCCAAAGCGUAACGGAGGAGCACGAAGGUUAGCUAAUCCUGGUCGGACAUCAGGAGGUUAGUGCAAAGGCAUAAGCUAGCUUGACUGCGAGAGUGACAGCUCGAGCAGGUGCGAAAGCAGGUCUUAGUGAUCCGGUGGUUCUGAAUGGAAGGGCCAUCGCUCAACGGAUAAAAGGUACUCCGGGGAUAACAGGCUGAUACCGCCCAAGAGUUCAUAUCGACGGCGGUGUUUGGCACCUCGAUGUCGGCUCAUCACAUCCUGGGGCUGAAGUAGGUCCCAAGGGUAUGGCUGUUCGCCAUUUAAAGUGGUACGCGAGCUGGGUUUAGAACGUCGUGAGACAGUUCGGUCCCUAUCUGCCGUGGGCGUUGGAAGAUUGAGAGGGGUUGCUCCUAGUACGAGAGGACCGGAGUGAACGCACCACUGGUGUACGGGUUGUGAUGCCAAUUGCAUUGCCCGGUAGCUAAGUGCGGAAGAGAUAACCGCUGAAAGCAUCUAAGCGGGAAACUUGCCUCGAGAUGAGUCUUCCCUGGACACUUGAUGUCCCUGAAGGGCCGUUGAAGACGACGACGUAGAUAGGCUGGGUGUGUAAGCGUAGCGAUACGUUGAGCUGACCAGUACUAAUGACCCGAGAGGCUUAACCUUACAACACCGAAGGUGUUU
Molecule: ribosomal RNA, 1419 nt
Filed under: Pectobacterium actinidiae
Lineage: Bacteria; Pseudomonadati; Pseudomonadota; Gammaproteobacteria; Enterobacterales; Pectobacteriaceae
Description: bacterial LSU rRNA
Rfam family: Bacterial large subunit ribosomal RNA
Source: RNAcentral